UUUCGCCGCCCGCGACUCGGCGAGAAGUCCAUUGAACCUUAUCAUUUAGAGGAAGGAGAAGUCGUAACAAGGUUUCCGUAGGUGAACCUGCGGAAGGAUCAUUG
Molecule: ribosomal RNA, 104 nt
Filed under: Gomesa gomezoides
Lineage: Eukaryota; Viridiplantae; Streptophyta; Magnoliopsida; Asparagales; Orchidaceae
Description: partial 18S ribosomal RNA
Rfam family: Eukaryotic small subunit ribosomal RNA
Source: RNAcentral